GACGAACGCUGGCGGCGUGCUUAACACAUGCAAGUCGAACGGAAAGGCCCUGAUAUUGUGGGGUGCUCGAGUGGCGAACGGGUGAGUAACACGUGAGUAACCUGCCCUUGACUUUGGGAUAACUUCAGGAAACUGGGGCUAAUACCGGAUAGGAGACCCUGCUGCAUGGUGGGGGGUGGAAAGUUUCGGCGGUCGGGGAUGGACUAGCGGCUGAUGAGCUUGUUGGUGGGGUAGGGGCAUACCAAGUCUUUGGAGGGUAGGCCGCCUGGGAGGGUGGCCGGGCACAUGGGUACUGAGGUAGGGACCAGUGGCCAACGUUAGACAACGGUGGGAAGUCUUGCACAGUGGGCGCAAGCCUGAGACAACAGCGCCGCGUUCGUGAUGACGUCCUUCUGGUUGUAAACCGCUGUCGCCUGUGACGAAGCGGGAGUGACGGUAAUGAGUAAAGAAGCACCGGCUAACUACGUG
Molecule: ribosomal RNA, 468 nt
Filed under: uncultured bacterium
Lineage: Bacteria
Description: partial 16S ribosomal RNA
Rfam family: Bacterial small subunit ribosomal RNA
Source: RNAcentral